RNAcentral lists this ribosomal RNA (468 nucleotides) under uncultured bacterium. RNAcentral's name for it is "partial 16S ribosomal RNA". It matches the Rfam family "Bacterial small subunit ribosomal RNA", at positions 28 to 507 of the family's 1533-position model. The record is from RNAcentral.
GACGAACGCUGGCGGCGUGCUUAACACAUGCAAGUCGAACGGAAAGGCCCUGCUUUUGUGGGGUGCUCGAGUGGCGAACGGGUGAGUAACACGUGAGUAACCUGCCCUUGACUUUGGGAUAACUUCAGGAAACUUGGGCUAAUACCGGAUAGGAGCUCCUGCUGCAUGGUGGGGGUUGGAAAGUUUCGGCGGUUGGGGAUGGACUCGCGGCUUAUCAGCUUGUUGGUGGGGUAGUGGCUUACCAAGGCUUUGACGGGUAGCCGGCCUGAGAGGGUGACCGGCCACAUUGGGACUGAGAUACGGCCCAGACUCCUACGGGAGGCAGCAGUGGGGAAUAUUGCACAAUGGGCGGAAGCCUGAGGCAGAAACGCCGCGUGCGGGAUGACGGCCUUCGGGUUGUAAACCGCUUUCGCCUGAGACGAAGCGUGAGUGACGGUAAUGGGUAAAGAAGCACCGGCUAACUACGUG